AUGCUCAUGCCCGGUACAAGUUUAGGUCACCCUCCCUGUUUACUGAACUCUUUGACUGGUAGCCAAGUCACACAUCUGGAAGCUACGGCAGAUGCUCAGCAGCUGUUGUCCAAGUUGCAUGGGCAGGAAGGAGAUUUACUGCCUUGCUCGGGCUGCCCAACCCCCUGCUUCAUUUGUAUGGCGAUGCUCAGAGCACAGCGCAGCUACGCAGUUUUCCUGUUAAUUCAUCAGGCAUUUGCCUCUUUUAUCCAUGGUUUUGGGCAAAACGUUCCUGAAACAGCCAUGCCCUCCCACCAUCUCCAGGAAGCUGGUUGGACAACUGUGAAGUUAAUGAAUAUCGACUGUCAGUUACUGCCCAGUGGAACAACAGCAGCUCCCAGCAGUCACAUCCAAGGCUGGCUUCUAUUCAUUUUUCCACACCUGCCAUCGGAAGAGAUAAGGAGAUUUAAAAAGUCUCACUGA
RNAcentral lists this long non-coding RNA (462 nucleotides) under Anas platyrhynchos platyrhynchos (common mallard). Its description in RNAcentral is "lncRNA (ENSAPLG00000024693.1)". The record is from RNAcentral. Lineage: Eukaryota; Metazoa; Chordata; Aves; Anseriformes; Anatidae.